CUCAAGAAGUAAACCGUCCUUCAAUUGCAUGAGAAGAAUUCCACAGUCAAAUGGCUGCAACCAGUUGGGAGGUAUGGGAUCUAUCAGGACAAAAACUGAAGUACCUUCCUCAGGACCUUCUGGCACCAGUUACUUUGUAUACAAGUGUGGAUUUGCAGAGGAACAAACUAAAGCGUGUCACCGGCAUCUCCAAAAACACCAACAUCACAGAGCUUAAUCUGUCCAGGAACAAGAUAAUCGAGUUUUCUCAAGAAAUCUGCAACUUGAAAAAUUUACAGACACUCUAUAUGAAUCAUAACAAUGUCAGAUCAAUUCCAGAAGGAAUCUUCCCACAUCUUAGAAAUUUAAAGUUCCUAAAACUCAGCACCAAUCGCCUGGCAAGGCUUCCUUCAGAUAUAAACCAGUGUACCAGUCUUACUUACCUGGACCUUUCCAAAAACUGCCUACAAAACAUCGAACCACUAGUUGGGCUACCAAAACUGAGGGAGUUAUUGGUUGAGAAGAACCAGCUUACAGAGCUACCAUCCCAGCUUUUCCAGAAAGGUAGCUGUGAGCUGACCAAGUUCAAGGCCAUGUGUAAUCCACUAAGGUGUCCACCAGAGGAAGUCUGUGCUGGAGGGGUCAUGGACAUUCAGAGCUACUUCCUUCAAAUGAAGGAGAACCCCAAUGCUCACACUACCUGGACAGUUAAAGCAAUGUUUCUGGGCUCUUCCAUGGCCGGGAAGUCCACACUCUGCCACAGCCUUAGGGAAGGGAAGCCUGUGGCAGUUGCAAUGAAGGAUCGGACGGAAGGAAUAGAUAUCACUCGGCUAUACACCCAUGAAAUCCGCUUCCUUCUCUGGGACUUUGCAGGGCAGGAGGAGUACUAUCUGACACAUCAUAUCUUUAUCACACCAAGAGCACUUGUUAUCCUCACUGUCAAUUUGGCCAGCUAUAGCACUGUAGACCCAGAGUCUUUCAAAGACCAGAUUUGGUUCUGGUUAAACAACAUACAGCUACGUGUGCCAAAUGCAGUGGUCAUGCUUGUGGGAACACAUUGUGAUCAGUGCAGAGACCUGGAAGAGGUAAUGGAGAAGAAGAAAGACAUUGAUGAGAAGAUUAACAUAAUGCUGGUAAACAGAAAGAUGGUUUUAAAGUACCAGAAGAAAAAUCUGGAAGAAAAUACAGACCCAUUUCUCUACAUGGAUCAAGUGGAUGAGAUUGAUUCCCUUUUAGAAUACAGUUUGAAGGUGUUGGAUCUUCUAACUCUUGACUGCACAAAGACUCAGGAUAUUGUAAGAUUCAGAAGUCAUAUUUUGAAAUGCAUUCAAUCAGAAAGCGCUUUCCUGUGUUCUGAGACCAUCUUACCACAAAGUUAUGAAGAAGUGGAACAAGCCAUCCAAAAACUUGUUACACUAGAACAGAUUCCUCAACAUGGUAUUAUUCUACUUGAAGAACUCUGUGAUUUAAUAAUGAACCAUGUAACACAGAGCAAAGAGCACCUCCACUCCAUAUUGCAAUUCCUCUUGCGAUAUCUGCACAGAAUUGGGGUUAUUAUUUGGUAUGAAGAUAUUGAUGUACUACGUGACCAUGUGUUUAUCCAGCCUUCAUUCCUCAUUUCUAUGUUCAAGACCAUUGUGAGACAUGACCUGGUGCAGCAGCUUGAGAGAAUCUCAAGAGACCUACUCAUGCAAGAAGGAGCUCUGAUGAAACAAAGGUUCAUCUGGGUGGAGGACUUGCGGUGCAGAGGCACCCUGCACAAUGCAGCCCUGCGCAUCUUAGUCCGGAGGGAGUUAGAGAAACUGGUCAUAGAUGAUGAUGAUUUGGUCAGAGAGGUAGUAGGUAACAAAAAGGAGGAAGGCAUAAUUCUCACCCUGUUGCAGCACUUUGAGGUUUGCCUCCCAACUCUUGUCAGAAGCCCCAUGAACCCCCAAGCACCAGACUUCAUCCCAGGAGAAAAUCACUGGGAGUCAGUCAGGGAGUCAAAGAGAGACCCUGAUGGAGCUUGCCUCUUCCCCAUCUAUCUGAAGGAUGACCUCAUAGUAUGUCAGAAAUGGGGUGAGAACAAGCAGGAUGAUCUCAGAGUGCAUGUGUACGUCCUUCCUGAGGUUCCACAUGGCUUCUUUCACAGACUGAUCAUUAAGACGUGCUCUCUUUACUCGACUCACUGGGUGGGAAAGGAGCAGUGUCUCCUCUGCUGUGGAAACAGACUUGCUCUGUUUAGACAGGGGGACAACAAUGGGAUUCCUUUAUAGAGAUACGCUGCCGAAGACCUGAGAAGGAUGAAGAGUUUCGGCAGAUGUGGGAUCUGAUCUUGGCAGUGAUGUCCAAGCUGUUUGUGCUGUCAAGGCAGUGGCCAGGACUGACCCAGCAGGUACACACUCCCUGUCCAGAGAGAGGCUGUCUGCAUUAUUUUACCUGGAGGGACUGGCAGGAACUGAACAACACCAACCUUUACAGUCUUGUCAAGGAGGAAAAAUUAGUUUGCCAGGGAGGCCAUACACGACGAACGGAAUUCAUUUUUCCAAAAGCUGCCACUUCGCAGUGAUGACUGAUGAGAAUGACGUCAAAGAAGACAAACACAGCAUCACAACCUCUUAAGCAAUAUGUUUAGUGGAAAAAUGUUUUUUGUGCUAGCCAAUUUUAUCUUCUUUUUUAGUGACUGGUAUGAGUAUUAUUUGGAAAAGUGUCACCAAGUAUUAGGUUCAGGGCUGAGGCUGAUUUUGUAAUAAAUGCUUUGUAAUAGAUGUAUUUAAAAAUACUCCAGAAGACUACUUGCAUUUCUAUUUUUGAUAUGCAGCGUUUCAGUGUUUAUGUGUACAAUGACAGCCUCUGCUGGCUCUUGAAGACUGUCAGCUAUGUUUUUCUUUGUGAAGACAAGUUGUAGACCUUACAGUGUUACAUGAAAAAUUACAACUGCUGCAUGUAAAACAUUUAAGCUGAUCUUUAAUAAUAUGAUAGUCCAAAUCAAUCCGGUCAUCUGCAAACUCCUAAAAUAGGCUUGCUACCCCUGUAUUUCUCUAGUUUUUCAUCAGUUCCUCAAAACUCUCUUCUACGUGCUGGCUCAUGCUGCCUUCAGGGUCUACUCGUAAAUGUCAUGAAGAAUGGUUAAUUGUUAAACCCCUGUAGUCAAAAGAAAUGACAUGUUAUUAAUUACAUAAACUGUCGCUGUCAUAUAAAAAAUACAUGUCAGAUUAUCAUAUAUUUUGGUAGUCUUUUUUGUAGCCACUCGUGCCUGUAUGAAAAAAAAGUCCUCACAGCAAACUGAACUGUGUAGUCUGAGUUAAAUCCAUAUAGAACAGAACCCAGUGAGUUAAUGUCCUAUAGGUCAUAUAGCAGUAAUUUUCUCUUCUCUUCUGUCUAAAGACGGAAAUCGACUGUCUGAAGUCUAUUUUCGUGUCUUCUGUUUUGGAAAUAACCUGCUUAAAUGUAAAUCUGACACUUGUUCAAGUGAAGAAUGAGGUAAUCGAAUUGAUCAACUUCUGGACGUACACAACUUACAUGUUUUUCAGAAAUAUUUAUGCAAAUGCUUAAGACCCUCCUGAAGUUCUAAAUUUAGGUGAUGUUUUUAGGAAAUUACAUCUCAGCUAUGUAACUCUGUUUAAAAACGAGAGGGAGAGAAUUAUAAGACCAUGGCACCUUGGUCAACACUCACUUUAAGGUUGUGCUGAGCA
Molecule: RNA transcript, 3653 nt
Organism: Haplochromis burtoni (Burton's mouthbrooder)
Lineage: Eukaryota; Metazoa; Chordata; Actinopteri; Cichliformes; Cichlidae
Gene name: malignant fibrous histiocytoma-amplified sequence 1 homolog
Exons: 10
Source: RefSeq, a predicted model, not a curated record